Molecule: ribosomal RNA, 203 nt
Filed under: uncultured bacterium
Lineage: Bacteria
Description: partial 16S ribosomal RNA
Rfam family: Bacterial small subunit ribosomal RNA
Source: RNAcentral
ACUGCAGGCUGCAACUCGCCUGCACGAAGUCGGAAUGCUAGUAAUCGUAGGUCAGCAUACUACGGUGAAUACGUUCCCGGGCCUUGUACACACCGCCCGCCAAACCAUGAGAGUUGGCAACACCCGAAGUCGGUAGUCUAACCGCAAGGAGGACGCCGCCGAAGGUGGGGUUGAUGAUUAGGGUUAAGUCGUAACAAGGUACC